CUCAGUUCGGAUUGGAGUCUGCAACCCGACUCCAUGAAGCUGGAUUCGCUGUAAUCGCGCAUCAGCCACGGCGCGGUGAAUACGUUCCCGGGCCUUGUACACACCGCCCGUCAAGCCAUGGAAGCCGGGAGUGCCUGAAGUACGCGACCGCAAGGAGCGUCCUAAGGUAAAACCGGUGACUGGGGCUAAGUCGUAACAAGGUAGC
This 205-nucleotide ribosomal RNA is filed under the name uncultured bacterium. RNAcentral describes it as "partial 16S ribosomal RNA". It matches the Rfam family "Bacterial small subunit ribosomal RNA", at positions 1287 to 1500 of the family's 1533-position model. The record is from RNAcentral.